UACGUAGGCAGCGAGCGUUGUUCGGAGUUACUGGGCGUAAAGGGUGUGUAGGCGGUUGUUUAAGUUUGGUGUGAAAUCUCCCGGCUCAACUGGGAGGGUGCGCCGAAUACUGAAUGACUAGAGUGCGGGAGAGGAAAGUGGAAUUCCUGGUGUAGUGGUGAAAUACGUAGAGAUUGGGAAGAACACCAGUGGCGAAGGCGGCUAUCUGGACGGUUUCUGACGCUAAGACGCGAAAGCGUGGGGAGCAAACAGG
This 253-nucleotide ribosomal RNA is filed under the name uncultured bacterium. RNAcentral describes it as "partial 16S ribosomal RNA". It matches the Rfam family "Bacterial small subunit ribosomal RNA", at positions 524 to 776 of the family's 1533-position model. The record is from RNAcentral.